Molecule: transfer RNA, 72 nt
Filed under: Heterocephalus glaber (naked mole-rat)
Lineage: Eukaryota; Metazoa; Chordata; Mammalia; Rodentia; Bathyergidae
Rfam family: tRNA
About the family: Transfer RNA (tRNA) molecules are approximately 80 nucleotides in length. Their secondary structure includes four short double-helical elements and three loops (D, anti-codon, and T loops).
Source: Rfam by way of RNAcentral
GGGUGUGCAGCUCAGUGGUAGAGCACUUGCCUGGCAUGCACAGAGCCCUGGGUUCAGUCCCCAGCACUGUUC